This 1158-nucleotide long non-coding RNA is filed under the name Monodelphis domestica (gray short-tailed opossum). RNAcentral describes it as "lncRNA (ENSMODG00000043797.1)". The record is from RNAcentral. Lineage: Eukaryota; Metazoa; Chordata; Mammalia; Didelphimorphia; Didelphidae.
GGAGAACUGAGCUCUAUUCCAGGCUCCAUUAUCUUGGCCAAUCUAUUUCAUUUCAACCCCACCUCCUACUCCCAGAACUUAGUUAUUCUAUCUGUAAAAUCAAAGAUUUGAACUAGCUGAUCCCUGAAGUCUUCUCACACUUCCCAAAUCUGUGACUGUGGGAAGGUGAGAGAGUCAAUGAGUUGAGUACAAGAUUUCUCUAGAGAGUUCUCCAAAGCUGGGAUGGACUGACUACCUCUCAAGAGGGCUUGAGGUCAUUAAUUUAGAGUUGGAAGGACUCUGAGAGUUAGUCUAGUCCAACCCCUCAUUUUAUAGAUGAGGAAACAGAAGCCCAGAGAAGUUACAAAGCUUGCCAAGGUCACAUAAGUGGUAAAUCAGCCACACCAGAAUUUGAAUGUAGGUCUGCAUUCUUCUACAUUCUUCUUCUGGAUUGUAAUUUUUGUACUUGAAAAGCAUUCAGACCUGCCAGUUGUUACCAACUAGCUUCUUAUUUCAGGAAUCUAGGCAAGUCGCUUAAUGUCUUUCAGGCUUAGUUUCUUUAUCUCUAAAAUGGGAUUAAUAAUAGCACUGACUUCCACAGUUGUGUGGAUCAAAUGAGAUAAACUGUACUUUGUACACAUGAAGACUCUAUAUACCUGCUAACUAUUACUUUGUUGUAGUUUAGUUAUUUCAGUCAUGUCUGACUCUUUUUGAUCUCAUUUCAGGUUUUCUCAGCAAAGAUACAGCGGUACUUUGUCAUUGCCUUCUCCAGAUCAUUUUACAGAGGAGGAAACUGAGGCAAAUGGUGUUAUGGGAUUUGUCUAGAGUUACACAGCUGAUCCAAGACAAGAAAACCACUUCCCAGGAAUAUUGAAGAAGGGAUUUCUUUUUCAGGGCAUACCAGAAGUGGUCAGUAACUGCCUUGGGGAAGAAGCACACAGGAAUCGCAUAGUUCAAGAGGAGAGUUCCUAGCUACCUGUUGCCUAUAUCUCCUCCUUUCUGCACAUGUUCAAGGUCAGAUAUUUGAAGAUGAACUUUCUUGACCAAAGAGACCACAGUAGAUAAGGUAGCCAUGAAGUAUCCUGGAGGAACACAAAGAAACUUUCUGCACUCACUGUCAAGGUCCUAGAGGAGAAUAAGUAGACAAUGUCAAGUCCAAACCACAGCUAACCUAUCAGA